CCGAGUUUACAACUCCCAAACCCCUGUGAACAUACCUACGUUGCUUCGGCGGACCACCCCAACCCCCUCGGGGCGAGGGGCCGCCAGAGGACCCAAAACCCAACUGUUUUUUCCGUAACGAAACCUAUUCUGAGUGGAAUUAUUAAAUAAAUCA
This 154-nucleotide unclassified non-coding RNA is filed under the name uncultured fungus. RNAcentral's name for it is "sequence contains ITS1, 5.8S rRNA gene". The record is from RNAcentral. Lineage: Eukaryota; Fungi. RNAcentral also lists the same sequence under 2 other names.